Molecule: non-coding RNA, 95 nt
Filed under: unclassified sequences
Source: RNAcentral
CGCAGAUGGCACUUCAUAGGUCUGUCAGAUAAGUCCGGCGUCCCGGUAAAGCUGAAACUAUGAAGUGUAAUGCGGCAGGCAGGUCCAAAGCCCUG